GAUGAACGCUAGCGGCAGGCUUAACACAUGCAAGUCGAGGGGCAGCGUGGAGCAGCAAUGCUCUGACGGCGACCGGCGGAAGGGUGCGUAACACGUGAGCGACUUGCCCGUCACAGGGGGAUAACCGGCGGAAACGGCGACUAAUACCCCAUACGAUGCGAUGCUGCAUGGCAUUGCAUUGAAAGAUUCAUCGGUGGCGGAUAGGCUCGCGGGACAUUAGCUAGACGGCGGGGCAACGGCCCACCGUGGCGACGAUGUCUAGGGGUUCUGAGAGGAAGGCCCCCCCANACUGGGACUGAGACACGGCCCAGACUCCUACGGGAGGCAGCAGUGAGGAUAUUGGUCAAUGGCGAAGCCUGAACCAGCCAUGCCGCGUGAAGGACUAAGGCCCUACGGGUCGUAAACUCUUUAGACGCAGAGCAAUAAGGUCCAAC
This 434-nucleotide ribosomal RNA is filed under the name uncultured bacterium. RNAcentral describes it as "bacterial SSU rRNA". It matches the Rfam family "Bacterial small subunit ribosomal RNA", at positions 28 to 460 of the family's 1533-position model. The record is from RNAcentral.